UUAAAUUGAAGAGUUUGAUCAUGGCUCAGAUUGAACGCUGGCGGCAGGCCUAACACAUGCAAGUCGAACGGUAACAGGAAGCAGCUUGCUGUUUCGCUGACGAGUGGCGGACGGGUGAGUAAUGUCUGGGAAACUGCCUGAUGGAGGGGGAUAACUACUGGAAA
Molecule: ribosomal RNA, 164 nt
Filed under: Escherichia coli
Lineage: Bacteria; Pseudomonadati; Pseudomonadota; Gammaproteobacteria; Enterobacterales; Enterobacteriaceae
Also listed under: 3 other names
Description: partial 16S ribosomal RNA
Rfam family: Bacterial small subunit ribosomal RNA
Source: RNAcentral